GCUCAGUGGUCGAGCGUUGGCUUUGGAAGCCACAGGUCGGUGUUUCAAAUCCACC
RNAcentral lists this transfer RNA (55 nucleotides) under Phytophthora infestans (potato late blight agent). It matches the Rfam family "tRNA", at positions 10 to 63 of the family's 71-position model. From Rfam's summary of the family: Transfer RNA (tRNA) molecules are approximately 80 nucleotides in length. The record is from Rfam by way of RNAcentral. RNAcentral also lists the same sequence under 1 other name. Lineage: Eukaryota; Oomycota; Peronosporomycetes; Peronosporales; Peronosporaceae.